AGAGUUUGAUCCUGGCUCAGAGCGAACGCUGGCGGCAGGCUUAACACAUGCAAGUCGAGCGGACGUAGCAAUACGUCAGCGGCAGACGGGUGAGUAACGCGUGGGAACGUACCUUUUGGUUCGGAACAACACAGGGAAACUUGUGCUAAUACCGGAUAAGCCCUUACGGGGAAAGAUUUAUCGCCGAAAGAUCGGCCCGCGUCUGAUUAGCUAGUUGGUGAGGUAACGGCUCACCAAGGCGACGAUCAGUAGCUGGUCUGAGAGGAUGAUCAGCCACAUUGGGACUGAGACACGGCCCAAACUCCUACGGGAGGCAGCAGUGGGGAAUAUUGGACAAUGGGCGCAAGCCUGAUCCAGCCAUGCCGCGUGAGUGAUGAAGGCCCUAGGGUUGUAAAGCUCUUUUGUGCGGGAAGA
RNAcentral lists this ribosomal RNA (414 nucleotides) under uncultured bacterium. Its description in RNAcentral is "bacterial SSU rRNA". It matches the Rfam family "Bacterial small subunit ribosomal RNA", at positions 8 to 448 of the family's 1533-position model. The record is from RNAcentral.